GCCCUCCCUACGUGUUCUAGCACCAGCGAAAGGGACAUGACUCUGGGCGGAGCACAGCCCCGGGGCACAGGAAGGCCAGGACCUGACCUGGAAACCGAGACUCAGGUCUGAGAAGGAGGCGCCUGACCAAGUGCUGUCCAGGGCCAGACGCUGGGGGAGCCCAGCUGGUGAGAGCAGUGGCCUGACCCUGACCCUCAGAGCGGCCAUCACAUGGAGCUUCAGGAAACACUCACUCCCUCUCCGCACCCCAGCCCCUGGCCCCCACCAUCUACUUCCUGUCUCUAUGGAUCUGACCCCUCCAGGAGCCUCAGGCUGGCAGAUGGACCUUGUGUAGAUGGACCACGUUUUGUCCGUGCAUCCAUCCACCCACGGGCCCUGGAGUGGUGUCCACCCGUUAGCAGUUGUGAGUAAUGCUGCUAUGAACACAGAUGUACUGAUAUAUCUCAAAAUACCUGUUUGAGGCCCUGCUUUCAAUUCCUUGGUGUCUAUACCUAGAAGUGAGUCAUAUGGAAAUUCUAUUUUUCACUUUUUGAGGAACCACCAUCCUGUGGUUGCACCACGGCAGUUGCACCACUUUACACGCUCGUUGUCACCAACACUUGUGUUCCCGUUUCUUUGUUUCUACAUCACAGUCAUCUCAGUGGGGGUGUGUGAUGAAAACUGCUAAGUGUCUAGGAAGUUUGAGGACCCCACCCACAUCCUCUAUCCCAGGAAAGCACUUGGCAAGCUCACUCCACCUCUUCUGACAUCAGCAUGUAUGUUGUUCUUGGAUGUUCCACGUAAAGUGAGUUGUAGACAUUUGGACACUGGAUCCCUGA
Bos taurus (domestic cattle) is the source of this 818-nucleotide long non-coding RNA. The record is from Ensembl. NCBI's taxonomy places the organism in Eukaryota, Metazoa, Chordata, Mammalia, Artiodactyla, Bovidae.